Molecule: ribosomal RNA, 837 nt
Filed under: uncultured beta proteobacterium
Lineage: Bacteria; Pseudomonadati; Pseudomonadota; Betaproteobacteria
Description: bacterial SSU rRNA
Rfam family: Bacterial small subunit ribosomal RNA
Source: RNAcentral
UCGAGCGGCAGCAUGUCCUUCGGGAUGAUGGCGAGCGGCGAACGGGUGAGUAAUACAUCGGAACGUACCUUUUAGUGGGGGAUAACGCAUCGAAAGAUGUGCUAAUACCGCAUAAUCUCUGAGGAGGAAAGGCGGGGACCUUCGGGCCUGUCGCUGAAAGAGCGGCCGAUGGCUGAUUAGCUAGUUGGUAGGGUAAAGGCCUACCAAGGCGAUGAUCAGUAGCUGUUCUGAGAGGAAGAUCAGCCACACUGGGACUGAGACACGGCCCAGACUCCUACGGGAGGCAGCAGUGGGGAAUUUUGGACAAUGGGGGAAACCCUGAUCCAGCAACGCCGCGUGAAUGAAGAAGGCCUUCGGGUUGUAAAGUUCUUUUGUCAGGGAGCAAAGGGUUUGUGCUAAUACCGCAAACUGUUGAGAGUACCUGAAGAAUAAGCACCGGCUAACUACGUGCCAGCAGCCGCGGUAAUACGUAGGGUGCAAGCGUUAAUCGGAAUUACUGGGCGUAAAGCGUGCGCAGGCGGAUGAUUAAGUUAGGAGUGAAAUCCCCGGGCUCAACCUGGGAACUGCUUUUAAGACUGGUCAUCUAGAGUUUGUCAGAGGGGGGUGGAAUUCCAAGUGUAGCAGUGAAAUGCGUAGAGAUUUGGAGGAACACCGAUGGCGAAGGCAGCCCCCUGGGAUAAAACUGACGCUCAGGCACGAAAGCGUGGGUAGCAAACAGGAUUAGAUACCCUGGUAGUCCACGCCCUAAACGAUGUUUACUUGCUGUUGGGGGCAACCUUAGUAGCGAAGCUAACGCGAGAAGUAAACCGCCUGGGGAGUACGGUCGCAAGAUUAAAA